Small nuclear RNA from Nothobranchius furzeri (turquoise killifish), 138 nucleotides. Lineage: Eukaryota; Metazoa; Chordata; Actinopteri; Cyprinodontiformes; Nothobranchiidae. The record is from Ensembl.
UAAAAGGGCUUCUGCCGUGAUUGGCACAGACGAGGUGAGCAUAACAACUCAUCUUGUCUGCGGAAUCCCCAUCAAGAGAUUUCGGAAGCAUAAUUUUUGCAACAGAGGCAGCUGGUGAUCACUUGUCCUGGCGCCUCA